Molecule: ribosomal RNA, 207 nt
Filed under: uncultured bacterium
Lineage: Bacteria
Description: partial 16S ribosomal RNA
Rfam family: Bacterial small subunit ribosomal RNA
Source: RNAcentral
AGCGUAGGCGGGAUCGCAAGUCAGAUGUGAAAACUAUGGGCUUAACCCAUAAACUGCAUUUGAAACUGUGGUUCUUGAGUGAAGUAGAGGUAAGCGGAAUUCCUAGUGUAGCGGUGAAAUGCGUAGAUAUUAGGAGGAACAUCAGUGGCGAAGGCGGCUUACUGGGCUUUAACUGACGCUGAGGCUCGAAAGCGUGGGGAGCAAACA